This 592-nucleotide ribosomal RNA is filed under the name Ommastrephes brevimanus. Its description in RNAcentral is "partial 28S ribosomal RNA". It matches the Rfam family "Eukaryotic large subunit ribosomal RNA", at positions 666 to 946 of the family's 3401-position model. Lineage: Eukaryota; Metazoa; Mollusca; Cephalopoda; Oegopsida; Ommastrephidae. The record is from RNAcentral.
CCGAGGAGUCCUGGCCGUUCGCGAGUCGUAGGGGCCCAUUUAAGAACCCCGGAGGCGUAGCGAAAGCGAGAGAGCGCGUUGGAGGGCACCGGUCCGGAGAGGUGUCUCGGCGAAGUCGUCCGCGUGGUUGGGGUUCGCUCCUUCUGCGUGGCCUCCGAGCCGUGCCCGAUCCUGCCGGCGCGACGAGUCUUGYUACUUUCCUUCGUCCGCCCCGCGUAUGCUGUCAUCGCCGUAGUCGUCUGAUUUUCCCUCUCGGGGGAGAUGAAGUUUGUGGUUGCGGCGGGUGUGCGUGCGGGUUGUGCACGGUGGCGUCACCUUCCUCCUUCCGCCCACCGGUGAGAUCCCGCGGCUUGAACUAGCAGCACUUACGAGUUUAGGCACUGCACGCGGGCGCAUCACCCCCGGGUCGAAUUUUUCCGAGUACGACUCGGUCGACUCUGGCGUAGCGAACGACCAGGGACCCGAAAGAUGGCGAUCCACGCCCGGUCGGGAUGAAGCCAGAGGAAACUCUGGUGGAAGUCCGAAGCGCCUCUGACGUGCAAAUCGAUCGUCGGAACCGGGUGUAGGGGCGAAAGACCAAUCGAGCCGUCUA